RNAcentral lists this ribosomal RNA (460 nucleotides) under uncultured bacterium. RNAcentral's name for it is "partial 16S ribosomal RNA". It matches the Rfam family "Bacterial small subunit ribosomal RNA", at positions 338 to 795 of the family's 1533-position model. The record is from RNAcentral.
CCUACGGGGUGCAGCAGUGAGGAAUAUUGGUCAAUGGGCGCGAGCCUGAACCAGCCAAGUAGCGUGAAGGAUGACUGCCCUACGGGUUGUAAACUUCUUUUAUAAAGGAAUAAAGUGAGUCACGUGUGCCUUUUUGUAUGUACUUCAUGAAUAAGGACCGGCUAACUCCGUGCCAGCAGCCGCGGUAAUACGGAGGAUCCGGGCGUUAUCCGGAUUUAUUGGGUUUAAAGGGAGCGUAGGUGGAUUGUUAAGUCAGUUGUGAAAGUUUGCGGCUCAACCGUAAAAUUGCAGUUGAAACUGGCAGUCUUGAGUACAGUAAAGGUAGGCGGAAUUCGUGGUGUAGCGGUGAAAUGCUUAGAUAUCACGAAGAACUCCGAUUGCGAAGGCAGCUCACUGGACUGCAACUGACACUGAGGCUCGAAGGUGUGGGUAUCGAACAGGAUUAGAUACCCUGGUAGUC